AUUUUGGACAAUGGGGGAAACCCUGAUCCAGCCACCCCGCGUGUAUGAUGAAGGCCUUCGGGUUGUAAAGUACUUUUGGCAGAUGAGAAAAGGUAUCCCCUAAUCCGGGAUACCUCUAGCGGUAUCUUCACAAUUAGCACCGGCUUACUACGUGCCGGCAGCCGCGGUAAUACGUAGGGUGCCAGCGUUAAUCGGAAUUAAUGGUCGUGAAGCGUGUGUAGGCGGUUGGGAAAGAAUGAUGUGAAAGCCCAGGGCUCAACCUUGAAACUGCAUUUUUAACUGACGAGCUAGAGUAGGUCAGAGGGGGGUAGAAUUCCACGUGUAGCAGUGAAAUGCGUAGAUAUGUGGAGGAAGAGCGAUGGCGAAGGCAGCCCCCUGGGAUAAUACUGACGCUCAGACACGAAAGCGUGGGGAGCAAACAGG
Molecule: ribosomal RNA, 423 nt
Filed under: uncultured bacterium
Lineage: Bacteria
Description: partial 16S ribosomal RNA
Rfam family: Bacterial small subunit ribosomal RNA
Source: RNAcentral